This 497-nucleotide ribosomal RNA is filed under the name uncultured bacterium. Its description in RNAcentral is "partial 16S ribosomal RNA". It matches the Rfam family "Bacterial small subunit ribosomal RNA", at positions 28 to 507 of the family's 1533-position model. The record is from RNAcentral.
GAUGAACGCUGGCGGCGUGCCUAAUACAUGCAAGUCGAGCGAACAGACGAGGAGCUUGCUCCUCUGACGUUAGCGGCGGACGGGUGAGUAACACGUGGAUAACCUACCUAUAAGACUGGGAUAACUUCGGGAAACCGGAGCUAAUACCGGAUAAUAUAUUGAACCGCAUGGUUCAAUAGUGAAAGACGGUUUUGCUGUCACUUAUAGAUGGAUCCGCGCCGCAUUAGCUAGUUGGUAAGGUAACGGCUUACCAAGGCAACGAUGCGUAGCCGACAUGAGAGGGUGAUAGGCCACACUGGAACUGAGACACGGUCCAGACUCCUACGGGAGGCAGCAGUAGGGAAUCUUCCGCAAUGGGCGAAAGCCUGACGGAGCAACGCCGCGUGAGUGAUGAAGGUCUUCGGAUCGUAAAACUCUGUUAUUAGGGAAGAACAAAUGUGUAAGUAACUAUGCACGUCUUGACGGUACCUAAUCAGAAAGCCACGGCUAACUACGUG